CCUACGGGAGGCAGCAGUAGGGAAUAUUGCUCAAUGGGGGAAACCCUGAAGCAGCAACGCCGCGUGGAGGAUGAAGGUUUUCGGAUUGUAAACUCCUUUUGUUAGAGAAGAUAAUGACGGUAUCUAACGAAUAAGCACCGGCUAACUCCGUGCCAGCGGCCGCGGUAAUACGGAGGGUGCAAGCGUUACUCGGAAUCACUGGGCGUAAGGAGCGCGUAGGCGGGAUAGCAAGUCAGAUGUGAAAUCCUAUGGCUUAACCAUAGAACUGCAUUUGAAACUGUUAUUCUAGAGUAUGGGAGAGGUAGGUGGAAUUCUUGGUGGAGGGGUAAAAUCCGUAGAGAUCAAGAGGAAUACUCAUUGCGAAGGCGACCUGCUAGAACAUAACUGACGCUGAUGCGCGAAAGCGUGGGGAGCAAACAGGAUUAGAUACCCGGGUAGUC
Molecule: ribosomal RNA, 440 nt
Filed under: uncultured bacterium
Lineage: Bacteria
Description: partial 16S ribosomal RNA
Rfam family: Bacterial small subunit ribosomal RNA
Source: RNAcentral